GAUGAACGCUGACAGAAUGCUUAACACAUGCAAGUCUUUGGCGAAGCUGUGCUUGCACAGCCUAGCCAAGGCGGACGGGUGAGUAACGCGUAAGGGACUUGCCCUGCAGUCAGGGAUAACAGACGGAAACGACUGAUAAGACCUGGUAAAGUCAGGCGGACUCAUGUCCAGCCUGAUGAAAAGGAAUGCUGCAGGAGAGCCUUGCGUCCUAUUAGCUUGUUGGUGGGGUAACGGCCCACCAAGGCGAUGAUAGGUAGCCGGCCUGAGAGGGUGGACGGCCACAAGGGGACUGAGAUACGGCCCUUACUCCUACGGGAGGCAGCAGUGGGGAAUAUUGGACAAUGGGGGCAACCCUGAUCCAGCAAUUCUGUGUGCACGAUGAAGGUCUUCGGAUUGUAAAGUGCUUUCAGCAGGGAAGAAAAAAAUGACGGUACCUGCAGAAGAAGCGACGGCUAAAUACGUGCCAGCAGCCGCGGUAAUACGUAUGUCGCGAGCGUUAUCCGGAGUUAUUGGGCAUAAAGGGCAUCUAGGCGGCCGGAUAAGUCUGGGGUGAAAACUUGCGGCUCAACCGCAAGCCUGCCCUGGAAACUAUGCGGCUAGAGUACUGGAGAGGUGGACGGAACUGCACGAGUAGAGGUGAAAUUCGUAGAUAUGUGCAGGAAUGCCGAUGAUGAAGAUAGUUCACUGGACGGUAACUGACGCUGAAGUGCGAAAGCUAGGGGAGCAAACAGG
This 732-nucleotide ribosomal RNA is filed under the name uncultured Leptotrichia sp. Its description in RNAcentral is "bacterial SSU rRNA". It matches the Rfam family "Bacterial small subunit ribosomal RNA", at positions 28 to 776 of the family's 1533-position model. The record is from RNAcentral. Lineage: Bacteria; Fusobacteriati; Fusobacteriota; Fusobacteriia; Fusobacteriales; Leptotrichiaceae.